AGAGUUUGAUCCUGGCUCAGAACGAACGUUGGCGGCGUGGAUUAGGCAUGCAAGUCGAACGCGAACGCCGGGCUUCGGCCUGGUUAGUAGAGUGGCGAACGGGUGAGUAACGCGUGGGCAAUCUACCCUUGAGUGGGGAAUAACCAUUCUAACGAGUGGCUAAUUCCGCAUGUGACCAUUUCCUCGCAUGGGGGAAUGGGGAAAGGCGGGGAUCUUCGGACCUGCCGCUCGAGGAGGAGCCCGCGUCCCAUUAGCUUGUUGGUGGGGUAACGGCCCACCAAGGCGACGAUGGGUAGCCGAUCUGAGAGGAUGACCGGCCACACUGGGACUGAGAUACGGCCCAGACUCCUACGGGAGGCAGCAGUCGAGAGGCUUCGGCAAUGGGGGAAACCCUGACCGAGCGACGCCGCGUGCGGGAAUGAAGGCCUUCGGGGUUGUAAACCGCUGUCAGAAGGGAAGAAUCCCCCUCGGGUGGAAUAUCCCGAGGGUUUGACGGUACCUUUCAAAGGGAAGCUCUUGGCUAACUUCGUUGCCAGCAGCCGGCGGGUAAUAUCGGGAGGGAAGCGAACGUUGGUUCGGAUUCACUGGGGCCGUAAAGGGGCGUGGUAGGCGGUCUGGGCAAGGUCAGGGGUUGAAAUUACCGCGGGCUCUACCGGCUGGAAAUUGGCCACGAUUGAAACUAUGCCUGAAUCACGACUUGAGGGCCGGUUGAGAGGGAGACCUGGGAAUUCUCAAGUUGUAGCCGGUGGAAUGCGAUAGAUAUUUGGGAGGACAUCCAGUGGCGAAGGCGAGUCUCUGGGCACGGUUCUGACGUUGGAGGCGCGAAGCUAGGGGAGCCAUCGGAUUAGAUCUCCCGGUAGUCCUAGCGUAACGAUGAGCACUAGUGUCGACGCAUCGACCCGGUCGGUGCUGAAGCUAGACGCUUAAGGUGUCCCGCCUGGGGAGUACGGCCGCAAGGUUGAAACUCAAGGAUGACGGGGCCCGCCACAAGCGGUGGAGCAUGUGUUAUUCGACGCAACGCGAAGACCUUACCCAGGCUUGACAUCCUUGGGAUCGCCUCAGAGAUGGGGUUUUCCUUCGGGACCCUUGGACAGGUGCUGCAUGGCUGUCGUCAGCUCGUGUCGUGAGAUGUUGGGUUAAGUCCCGCAACGAGCGCAACCCUUACCCUUAGUUGCCAGCGGUUUGGCCGGGCACUCUAAGGGGACUGCCCCGGAAAACGGGGAGGAAGGUGGGGAUGACGUCAAGUCCUCAUGGCCCUUACGUCCGGGGCUACACACGUGCUACAAUGGCCGGUACAGAGGGUAGCAAUGCCGCGAGGUGGAGCCAAUCCCACAAAGCCGGCCUCAGUUCGGAUUGGAGUCUGCAACUCGACUCCAUGAAGUCGGAAUCGCUAGUAAUCGCGGAUCAGCAUGCCGCGGUGAAUACGUUCCCGGGCCUUGUACACACCGCCCGUCAAGUCAGCCGAAUUGAGUGCUCCCUAAGACGCUGCUCCGACCCGUAAGGGAGGAAGGUGUCCAAGGAGUGCUUGGUGAGGGGGACUAAGUCGGAACAAGGUAACC
This 1559-nucleotide ribosomal RNA is filed under the name uncultured prokaryote. RNAcentral describes it as "partial 16S ribosomal RNA". It matches the Rfam family "Bacterial small subunit ribosomal RNA". The record is from RNAcentral.